GUGGGGAAUAUUGGACAAUGGGCGCAAGCCUGAUCCAGCCACGCCGCGUGAGUGAUGAAGGCCCUAGGGUUGUAAAGCUCUUUCACCGGAGAAGAUAAUGACGGUAUCCUGAGAAGAAGCCCCGGCUAACUUCGUGCCAGCAGCCGCGGUAAUACGAAGGGGGCUAGCGUUGUUCGGAAUUACUGGGCGUAAAGCGCACGUAGGCGGACAUUUAAGUCAGGGGUGAAAUCCCGGGGCUCAACCCCGGAACUGCCUUUGAUACUGGGUGUCUGGAGUAUGGAAGAGGUAAGUGGAAUUCCGAGUGUAGAGGUGAAAUUCGUAGAUAUUCGGAGGAACACCAGUGGCGAAGGCGGCUUACUGGUCCAUUACUGACGCUGAGGUGCGAAAGCGUGGGGAGCAAACAGGAUUAGAAACCCGGGUAGUCC
Molecule: ribosomal RNA, 425 nt
Filed under: uncultured bacterium
Lineage: Bacteria
Description: partial 16S ribosomal RNA
Rfam family: Bacterial small subunit ribosomal RNA
Source: RNAcentral